Long non-coding RNA from Mustela erminea (ermine), 214 nucleotides. RefSeq lists it as uncharacterized. The record is from RefSeq and is a predicted model, not a curated record. Lineage: Eukaryota; Metazoa; Chordata; Mammalia; Carnivora; Mustelidae. The transcript is spliced from 3 exons.
ACAGCAGGAGGGAAGCAGUAGGCAGAGGGGUGUGAGCAACACGAGCUGUUGCCAUGUGAGUUCAGUGGCAACGGAAAGAGGAGGGAGCUACUUGUCCUGCACCCUCUGGGGGCCAUUCCCGGGAAAGACAGAGAAAAAGGAAACCUGAUGCUCCAGGAUUGGCCAUGGUUGCAAGAUGAAGCUGAUGCCGCAAACAGCCGCGUGAGGAGAUGGC